UACGUAGGGUGCGAGCGUUGUCCGGAAUUAUUGGGCGUAAAGAGCUCGUAGGCGGCCUGUCGCGUCGGAUGUGAAAGCCCGGGGCUUAACCCCGGGUCUGCAUUCGAUACGGGCAGGCUAGAGUGUGGUAGGGGAGAUCGGAAUUCCUGGUGUAGCGGUGAAAUGCGCAGAUAUCAGGAGGAACACCGGUGGCGAAGGCGGGUCUCUGGGCCGAUACUGACGCUGAGGAGCGAAAGCAUGGGUAGCGAACAGG
This 253-nucleotide ribosomal RNA is filed under the name uncultured bacterium. RNAcentral describes it as "partial 16S ribosomal RNA". It matches the Rfam family "Bacterial small subunit ribosomal RNA", at positions 524 to 776 of the family's 1533-position model. The record is from RNAcentral.